CGUGCGGUUCUAUUUUGUUGGUUUUUGGAAUCGCCGUAAUGAUUAAUAGGGACAGUCGGGGGCAUCAGUACUCACAUGCUAGAGGUGAAAUUCUUGGAUUUUGUGAAGACUAACUUCUGCGAAAGCAUUUGCCAAGGAUGUUUUCAUUAAUCAAGAACGAAGAUUAGGGUAUCAAAAACGAUUAGAUACCGUUGUAGUCUUAACAGUAAACUAUGCCGACUAGGGAUCGGUCGAUGUUAUCUUUUUGACUCGAUCGGCACCUUACGAGAAAUCAAAGUUUUUGGGUUCUGGGGGGAGUAUGGUCGCAAGACUGAAACUUAAAGAAAUCGACGGAAGGGCACCACCAGGAGUGGAGCCUGCGGCUUAAUUUGAUUCAACACGG
RNAcentral lists this ribosomal RNA (382 nucleotides) under uncultured fungus. RNAcentral describes it as "SSU rRNA". It matches the Rfam family "Eukaryotic small subunit ribosomal RNA", at positions 827 to 1208 of the family's 1831-position model. Lineage: Eukaryota; Fungi. The record is from RNAcentral.